RNAcentral lists this ribosomal RNA (1381 nucleotides) under uncultured bacterium. Its description in RNAcentral is "16S ribosomal RNA". It matches the Rfam family "Bacterial small subunit ribosomal RNA". The record is from RNAcentral.
UUCGCCCUUAGAGUUUGAUCCUGGCUCAGGACGAACGCUGGCGGCGCGCCUAACACAUGCAAGUCGAACGAGCGAGAGAGAGCUUGCUUUCUCGAGCGAGUGGCGAACGGGUGAGUAACGCGUGAGGAACCUGCCUCAAAGAGGGGGACAACAGUUGGAAACGACUGCUAAUACCGCAUAAGCCCACGGUGCCGCAUGGCACAGAGGGAAAAGGAGUAAUCCGCUUUGAGAUGGCCUCGCGUCCGAUUAGCUAGUUGGUGAGGUAAUGGCCCACCAAGGCGACGAUCGGUAGCCGGACUGAGAGGUUGAACGGCCACAUUGGGACUGAGACACGGCCCAGACUCCUACGGGAGGCAGCAGUGGGGAAUAUUGCACAAUGGGGGAAACCCUGAUGCAGCGACGCCGCGUGGAGGAAGAGGGUCUUCGGAUUGUAAACUCCUGUUGUUGGGGAAGAUAAUGACGGUACCCAACAAGGAAGUGACGGCUAACUACGUGCCAGCAGCCGCGGUAAAACGUAGGUCACAAGCGUUGUCCGGAAUUACUGGGUGUAAAGGGAGCGCAGGCGGGAAGACAAGUUGGAAGUGAAAUCUAUGGGCUCAACCCAUAAACUGCUUUCAAAACUGUUUUUCUUGAGUAGUGCAGAGGUAGGCGGAAUUCCCGGUGUAGCGGUGGAAUGCGUAGAUAUCGGGAGGAACACCAGUGGCGAAGGCGGCCUACUGGGCACCAACUGACGCUGAGGCUCGAAAGUGUGGGUAGCAAACAGGAUUAGACACCCUGGUAGUCCACACCGUAAACGAUGAUUAUUAGGUGUGGGAGGGAUUGACCCUUUCAGUCCCGCAGUUAACACAAUAAGUAAUCCACCUGGGGAGUACGACCGCAAGGUUGAAACUCAAAGGAAUUGACGGGGGCCCGCACAAGCAGUGGAGUAUGUGGUUUAAUUCGACGCAACGCGAAGAACCUUACCAAGUCUUGACAUCCCUUGACAGGCAUAGAAGUAUGUUUUCUCUUCGGAGCAAGGAGACAGGUGGUGCAUGGUUGUCGUCAGCUCGUGUCGUGAGAUGUUGGGUUAAGUCCCGCAACGAGCGCAACCCUUAUGGUCAGUUACUACGCAAGAGGACUCUGGCCAGACUGCCGUUGACAAAACGGAGGAAGGUGGGGAUGACGUCAAAUCAUCAUGCCCUUUAUGACUUGGGCUACACACGUACUACAAUGGCGUUAAACAAAGAGAAGCAAGACCGCGAGGUGGAGCAAAACUCAGAAACAACGUCCCAGUUCGGACUGCAGGCUGCAACUCGCCUGCACGAAGUCGGAAUUGCUAGUAAUCGUGGAUCAGCAUGCCACGGUGAAUACGUUCCCGGGCCUUGCACUCACACGCCCGUCA